ACACUCAUGUUCGGCAGCAAGCACGGACAGUCCUGCCCGGAGGCAGGGGGAUGGCCCACAUGGCCCUGGUCUUCCAGAGAAGCCCAGCGUCUGGCCUCUUCCCCUCAGCGCUGGUCACAUUCUCCCCACCUUCCCCUCCAAGCAGCCCACCUGGGGUAGGUGCUGAGUCCCCUGCUGCUGCCUCCCCCGGGUGAAAGCAGAGUAAACAGUCCCCCUCUCCCCCGCCUCCCUGGGGAGGGCUGGAGGAAAGAAAGGGAAGUGACAAAAGCUGCCCUAUCCCUGUCCUUCCUCACUGCUGGGUCUAGGACACUUAUUCUGGGGAAAGUGGCGUCUGAGGAUGUGGCUGCAGUGGCCAGUUGCUGGCGCCAGCAGAAAUCCCCAAGCCCGUCAGUAGACUCUGUUCAGACGCGUUCGCUGACCAUGGCACUGAGUAAGUGCUGAGGAGACACCUGAGGACCCAGGUCACGCCCCUGCCUGCCCUCUCCUCCCAGACAGGCCCCUCCUAGGGCUCAGACCAUUCCAGUUCCUCUUGUCAGACCCUGAGAAGGCCCAGGGCAUCCACCCCUACAGGGAAGGCUCAACAGGAAAGAAAGAAACACACAGGAACUGGGCUCAGAGCCCAGCUGCGUGCUCUUGGGCAAGUUACUUAACCUCUUUAGGCCUCAAUUUCUCAACUAUAAAAUGGGACUAAGACUAGCUGCCUGUUGAGCUGUUGUGAGAUAAGUGAGUGCACUGGCCUGGAUCUGCAGACGGUGGACAACAGCCAACGGCAGCCGGAUGUGGCAUUGUGCUGCUGCCUUUAGCAGCUCCAGGCAGUAACUACUGAGUAUCAGGGAAGAACUGAGACCUCAGAGAAGGGAGAGAACCAGGAUUGCUUGAGGCAGGGCGUUGGGAAGGCCCCACUUACCCUCUGGCAGUUGCAAUCUAAAAGGAACAAAGAGGCUUUGUGGCAGAUCCUGUCUCCUAAUAUCCAUUCCUCGUUUAUUUCCCAACUUUUAGCCAGACCCCCAUGGAAUAAAGACUAGACUACCUAGCUUCCCUUGCAGCUAGGUAUGGCUAGAUGACUGAGUUCUGGCCAAUGGAAUAUAAGUGUGACUUCUAGGAAGCUUCCUUGAAGGGAAGGGGCAUGUCCUUCUUCAGGCUUUCUUCUUCCUUCCUGCUGGCUGGGGCUCCAGCAGCCAUCUUGGGCAAUGAGGUGACCCUGGAAAUGGAAACCACACCUAGCAGGUCAGAAAGAUAGAAGGAGUCUCUGACCACAUCCCAGAAAUAUUUUACAUGAGCAAAAAAUUCACUAUUUAUCUUGUGUAAACCAAAAUUUAACUGAUACAAGCUUCUCCUCUGGUGAAAUAAUCUCGACUCAUGUGUGGCUGGGCAGAGUAGGAUGGAUGAGGUGUCUAGAAGAGAAGAGUUACCAGGGGUGUGAUGUCCCCAUCCAGGAGCACUUCCUCCUACUUGCCCUGUGAGGUCAGGAGGAACCCUGUUGGGAGGACUUGGCUCCAGGAGGAUGGAUGGAUGGAUGGAUGGAUGGAUGGAUGGAUGGAUGGAUGGAUAGAUAGAUGGAUGGAAAGGAGGGAAGAGCCCAGGUAAAUGCAUGAGAUGAGGAGAAAUACCUAGAAGGAGGAAAUACCCUGGGAAAACACUUCAGAUGACAGAGAGCCAGGCUAGGGGUGUGGGGAUAGCAGAACAGGAUGGCCUACCUGACUCACUGCCCAAGUCGGACUCUCAGUUUUCCCACCUGUGCUUUGGGAAUGGGCCUUAUCGCCUCACUCAGGGCCAGCGUGAAGUGAUUCAAAAACCAAACCAAAACUAAACAGAGAAUCAGUGUAGCAUUAAAUCCGUUGUCAGCCCAGACAAAACCCUUCUCUGUGCCUGGGAUUCCUAUAAAGUAAGGAUACCCGUGGACCCCACCUCACCUGGCUGUUGUGAGUAUUCAGCGAAAGGGCUACUGUAAUGUGCUCAUCACAGUGUCUGGCACAAGGCAAGUGCUCAGUAAGCAGUCAGUGCUAUUAUUGCUGCUGUUGAAAUCCUGCCCUGGGGUGUGAGGAACAAGAAGCUGCCACUUGAUUGGUCUGUGGCAUGAGUUAGGGAAAGAAACCUGGACUCCUCACUCCAGAAUAAUAUCUCCAGCGCUUUGGGGACCUAAAGGACCAGGUAAUGCCUUGGGAGCACCACACCAUAAACACACAUCAGGAUCCUGACGGCAUAAGAUGGAAUGGGGGUAGUAGGGAGACCUGGCAGGGUGGGGGCAGCCAAGGCUUAAAUUUUGGUACCACUGCCUGGGACCCCUGGAGGGACAGCUGUCAGGUCAGGCCCUGACCCCCAAGCUCUCCUCCUUGGCCAGGCCAGGUCCACAUUUGGUCACAAGAAGCUGGCAAGAGGCCAGACAGGGCCGCAGAUGCCAUGGAGAGGGCAAACACAGGCCCGACGGAAAGGGGGAAAAAAUCGGGCUUGUUCUGCCUGGGCAAGAGCAGGCUCAGGGGUGACAUCAACGCCAUGAUAAGCAGUUAGAUGAGUUAAUGCCCAGGGAUGCUUUUCCUGAAGUUCCCCAGAGAAAGUUGGGGGUUAAAUGAUGAGUGUGUUGGCAGAUUUGUACCCUCAAAAAAUUACGAGUGUGACCACUGUUAACAAUGAGCAGGGACUUUAAGAGGAGAACUAAGGAGCUGUCAUUUCUCUCUGGAGAAGUGAAGGAGAAGAAAUGAUCUUACAUUAAAGUAAACACGAUUCCGGAUGACCUAAGGGAGAAUUCUGACUGCCCAUGACAUGAGCUCUCUGUGUGCAAGGAGCUGUGGACUGAGUCCAGAACUGAAUAGGGCACACAGCUUCAGUGGCCUGUCCUGAAACCCCAGCACAGCCUCCAAGUUCUGGGCUUCUGUUCCCACCUGUGUUAAAUCAGACAAGGUAACGAUUAUGGAUAGGGAUUUAGGAAUCAUACAGAGAUCAGUUUGAAGGCACUUUGGACAAGUUACCUAACUUCUCUGUCCUUUGUUUCUUCCUCUGUUUGGAAGAAAAAAAAAAAACAGAACUGGGUGCAGAGGGUUGCUGGGAAGAUUAAUUCAGUGGAUGCCAGCUUAGAGCCUGGCACCCAGGACGAGCUCCAUAAAUAUUCUCCAGUGGGGCUAUUUUUCUCCUGUCUGGGCAGGGAUUGGACAGUAUCUCUUGAGUUCUUUUCAAGUCUAGAAUGCCUUGAUUCCACAAUCCUGUGACUCACUGAUUCUGCUUCUGGGGUCUGAGGACUGGGAUGAGUUGGUUGCACAGCUCUGCCCUGCAGGGCCCAGGCCCAGCACCUGGACAUAGCCCAGCCUAUAGUCUGCACCAUUUUAUUUCUACCAGUGGACUUUGCCUUGCCCAUCAUGUGCCCUCAGCCUCAUGGGCAGCCUUGUGGCCACAGGUGGCCCUGCCAGCUGUCCCUGACCUCUGCUCUGCACCUUCACCUGGAGCAGGGCAGUGCAAGCCCCUCCGGCUAACUCCUUCCUCACACCUACAUUCCCCUGACAAUGUCACAUGCUGUGCAAGUUGGCAGGGCCAGAGGGGCCACAGAUGCCAACAAAAACACCAUUCCUGUGGAGGGAGAAGAGCCCAUGGGUGUUAUUUUUAACCUGCUGAUUAGAGGCCACAGCUCUGCCCCUGGGGGUCCUGGGACUAAGGGCUCUGAGGGGCAUGUGAGUUGUCAGGCCUCACCUCAAUGACUCCCAAGGGUAUUGGGCUGCAGAAACCCCAGCCCUUCUACCACUUUGAUGGAGAAGUGGGAAAGGGAGACACAGAUCAAGACAUGCCCCAUCUUGCCCACUGGUUUCAACUGGGGCUGAACCCAGCCAGGAAGAGCAAAUGUGCCACGAAUCACAGAACAUUAAACCUAGAGAUGGGUCCUCUCCAGUCCCUGCGUUAUACAGAUAAGGAAACUGAGACCUGAGGGAGGAGGCCCAAAGUCACACUGCUGGUCAACACUAGCUUCCUACCCCCUUGCCCACCUGUUGUAGACCUGGAGUUUGACAAGGACAUUUCUAUAACUCUCCAAGGCCACAUCCUGGGGGUCACCUUGCUCCACCCUCUGUCCAGGUGACCCAUCUUGCCUCUGCCCUCUCCCCAGUCUGCCCUACCCCAAUGGGCUGAGCUUCUGACAACCCCAUGAUGAGGGCUCCAGGCCCUGGCUCACCCUGCAAGGACUUCCUAAGUGCCCAAGCAGUGCCCCCUAGAGGCCAGUGGCAGCACUGAUCAGCACAGCGGGCAGCGCCAUCAUGGCUGGAGGCCCAGGCGAAGACGUGCAGGCCAGGGCGUGCCUGUGUGGGGGGAACAGGACCGAGCUUCUGCCAAGGGCCCGCUGCCGGCUGUUGCUGAGCUUGUGCUCGCCAGAGGGGUGGGGGCGGCAGGCAGACAAUGGACCCCACGGCCCAGCCUCCUGGCCUUGGCCCCUUGAGCUGGGCAGGCAGCCGCUGGCCAAAGCAGCCGCCUCCAUUGGUCCCUCACGUAGCCCACGUCCUGCCUGCUGGGUGGCCCUUAUCACCGGGUACGUGCCAGAGUUCCACAUGCCCACACUCCACAGUGGGGAGGGGACUGUGGGCCCAGGAGGAAUGGGACCAGUGGGAAGUUAGGCUUCCUGUUUCCCUGCAUCCCAUUCCCAAGGAGGGGCUUGAGCAGGUCCUGAGUACCCCUUGAUGAGUCUCUCGUUCUCAGAGAGAUCUUAGCCGCAUCUCGCCAAGUCCCAACUCUCAACAACUGUUCUCCCCUUGGAAUGAAGGGGUUGGGUGGAAGAGAAGAAAGAAAGAGGCCAACAGCUUCAUUUGAAUGUUCUAGGUCACCAGUUCACAAAUACCAACUGUUCCUCUUAACAAGCUUAUACAAGAAGUAGUACUAUACUAUGCUUAUUACUGUCUGGGGAAACAGGCACAGAGAGGUUGAGUGACUUACCCACAACCAUACAGCUGGUAGGGACAGAGUCAGGAUUCAAAUCCGAGCAGACCGACUCCACAGCUAAACCACUCCUCAACAAAGCAGGGUCGUGACUGGCUGGUGCUCAGCCCUCUACCCCACAGAAAUGAUGGCUUUGGGGUCAGACAGACAUGGGCUCAGGCCUGGAAAUGCAUGCUCUAGGGCCAGUGAAGGCCCUCUCUGGGCCAAUGUUUCCUUACCUGUGAAAUGGGUGCAGUGAUGCAGUGAGGAAGGUACAGCCACAUGUGCCUCACUGGUGGAAGCUGCUGCACAAAUCCUCCUCCCCUUCACCCAGCAGAGCUCAAAGCCUCCUUUGACUGAAUAAUUAGAAUGUCUUCUGCCUCGCCGCCUGAAGCCCACCAUCCCAGCCUCCACUUCCUCUGUCCAAACCUACAGAGCGGCUCCAUUCCCUGGCACUUGAGGUCUGCUGCAAGCCCCUAGCAUGCCCGGCCAGGUAGCCCCGGCACGCUUGCUCAGCCCACGCACUGUUUAACCUUCCACAGGCACUGGGUUCUCCCUGUCUUCCCCCCGAGGAAGACCGUGAGUGCCCGCUGUGGGGCCAGGGGAGGAUGGGGCCGGAUGAGCCCCUGCCUCCCUGGUAUGUGCACACAUGUACAGUCAGGCCUUAUUCAAGGAGCUUGGACCCUGGGCCCAGUCUCAGUUGGCUACCAGAGCUGUGUGGCUCUGUACAGGUCCUUUCACGUCACGGGGGCUGUUUCCUCAUAUGUCAAAUGGACAUCUACAUCCCGGCUGGUAAAGACACAGUGAAGCCACAUCUGGGACACACCCCUCCCAGAAAACUUCCUCGUGAUUUCUGCUAGCAGAUUAGGACUACAGCGUGUGUGGGCAGGGAAGGGAUCUGGCUGGGAGGACAGGCGAAAUGGACAUAGACGUCAGAGAAGGCAGGAAGCAGAGGGGUUUCCCCACCAUGAUGAGGCUGCACAGGCAGGGGAAGAAAGGCCAUGGGGGCUGAGUCACUGGCUGUGUCUAAUCUGCUGCCUUCCCAGCCACUGACAAUGAAGUGACCACAGGCGGAUCACAGGAGAUCACAGGAGGGAGGUGGCCAAACAGGACAAGAAAGGGAGCUGCAGGGACUCUAGAGGAAGUAGCCUGAGAGGCAAGGCUCAGCCCCUGCCCUCAGAGGGACCCUGAGCUGAUGGGGUAGCAGACACAGCUGCUGCCUUCAGUGAGCUCCCAGUCUGACAGGGGAGACAUUCUUUUGUCUCAGGAGAGAAAGGAGCUCUGCCUUCAGGGAACUCCCAAUCUGACAGGGAAGUUUUAUCACUUUCUGCCUUAAGGGAAUUACAACUGUGACUGGGGACUCAGCCUCUGUUCGCAGGGAACCCCAGCUUGAGGUGUCUAUGUCUGAGGGAGCAGGUGCCUGAGUGAGCGCUGUGCAUUUGUGUGUUGACACCCUUCCUGGCUUCCUUCAGACCCUCCAAUCUGAUGGGAGAGACACAGCUCUGCUCUUAAGGAGCUCCUGUAAGAUGGGGGAGACAUAGUCCCCACAUCAGGCGGCCACUAAAAUGAAGGGGGAGACUUAGCUCCUGCCCUCUGUCCUCAGGGAGCCCUGUCUGCCCCCACGGGCACUCAGGUUAAGCAUGCAUGUGUGUGCACAUGGGAAUGCAUGCAGGCCCUGCUCUAGCCCUCUCAGGCACCACUCCCCACCAUGCCCACCUGAGAACUCCUCAAAGUAAGGAAGGAGAAUCCUUGUUCGAGCCCAGGCUAAGGGGGCUUCCACAGAGGGGCUUCUGGGAGCCUAGAAGACAGAGGGUGGGGGAGACAGAAGUGCUACCACAUCUAGGGUGGCUGGGCUCACUGUCCUGAACAGCUGAGCUGCAUCUGCCUUCCUCAUCUCCAACUCCUGAUCCCUGAUACACCCCAGCCUCACAUGUCCGCUGAGACGCGGUACAUGGUAUCUCCCACACGUAUGCGCGGCUCCAGCACAUGGGAGAGGGUGGCUGGGGCUUGGAGCUCAAAGGAGCCUCUUCUUUUCCUCCCCGUGGCCCUCAUGUUGCCUUUCACACACCCACUCUGGGUGAUGGGAGGGGAGUGACCAGUCCACCCCGAGUCACUAUGACUCGGUCUCCCCACCUGGAACCCUCAUACUCGGUUCACAGUCUCCAUGAAGGGACAGUGAGCAGACUGGGAGUCAGCGGGGAGGAGGCCCACAACAAGUCGGGAGCUCCAGUUCACCCACUCAAUUCCUUCCUAGGGCAGGAAACCUUCAGGAGAGCAGAGGAUGGGGCUGGGUGGGAAAAUAACAUGCAAGGGAGGAAGCAGGGAGCACAGGGCAUUUCCCCUCAAGUGGGAGUUCCCCGAGGGCAGGGCUGUGUCUCCCCUCAGACUGGGGCACCCUGAGGACUGGGUUGUGUCUCCCCUUAGACUGGGGCACCCUGAGGACUGGGUUGUGUCUCCCCUUAGACUGGGGCACCCUGAGGACGGGGCUGUGUCUCCCCUCAGACUGGGGCUCCUUGAGUCAGGGCUGCGUCUCCCUCAGACUGGGGGUCCCUGAGUCAGAGCUGCGUCUCCCCUCAGACUGGGGCACCCUGAGGACUGGAUUGUGUCUCCCCUCAGACUGGGGCUCCCUGAGUCAGGGCUGUUUCCCGCCUCAGACUGGGGGUCCCUGAGUCACGGCUGUGUCUCCCCUCAGACUGGGGCUCCCUGAGUCAGAGCUGCAUCUCCCCUCAGACUGGGGGUCCCUGAGUCACGGCUGUGUCUCCCCUCAGACUGGGGGUCCCUGAGUCAGGGCUGUCUCCCCCCUCAGACUGGGGAUCCCUGAGUACAGGGCUGUGUCUCCCUCAGACUGGGGCUCCCUGAGGAUGGGGCUGUGUCUUCCUCAGACUGGGGCACCCUGAGGAUGGGACUGUGUCUCCCCUCAGACUGGGGCUCCCUGAGUCAGGGCUGUCUCCCCCCUCAGACUGGGGCUCCCUGAGUCAGGGCUGUCUCCCCCCUCAGACUGGGGCUCCCUGAGUCAGAGCUGCGUCUUCCCUCAGACUGGGGCACCCUGAGGACCGGAUUGUGUCUCCCCUCAGACUGGGGCUCCCUGAGUCAGGGCUGUCUCCCGCCUCAGACUGGGGCUCCCUGAGUACAGGGCUGUGUCUCCCUCAGACUGGGGCUCCCUGAGGAUGGGACUGCGUCUCUCCUCGGACUGGGGUUCCCUGUGGACAGGGCUGUGUCUCCCUCAGACUGAAUUCCAUGAAGACAGGCACUGUGUCAAUCCCAUCAAACUAGGUCAGAACUAGAUCUCCUUUAGCAUCUAAAACAGGCAACUCAUCCACCAUCCCCAACAUCAUCUGGGGGUUUUCAGACUGGGUGGGGUGGGGCAUCUACUUCCCACCAGGCCACCCUCCUGAGGAAGGACAAUCAUGCUUACUGGCAGGGGCUUCCUCAGUGAGCAGCCUGUUCCCAGUUCACCCACUCACCCCUCUGGGUGGUCUCUCCCACAGUCUAGCCCCAGUCUCUCACGUUAAAUCACCAUGGGUAGCUGGGCAGGCGAGACCCACAGGAUGUGUGGGCAGGGCCUGCCUGGACCUGGUGGGGGGUGUAUAGCUGAGAGCACAGGCAUUUUGUAGCAUGAUCUCAUGCCCACUGCCCUCAGCUAGGGGCUCUUCAGGACCAUUUGAGCAUGGGGAGUGGGCAGACAAGCCUGGGCAGCUAUACCAGUGGCCUGAGGAAGCCAAGCUUGGCAGGUUCCUGCUUCCAUGAGUCCAAAUCAGCACAGGAAGUGGGUCCCAACACCAUUAGCUUUCCCUUAUCCUAUGCUGUAGCCACCUGGAUUAGCAGAGGGAGAGGCCUCCUACCCCAGUGGGUCCCUGUGAGGGGGCAGCCCGACCUUACAGUGUAUACAUUUGGUAGUGAAGGAAGCAGGAAACAGCUGGACAGGCCUGGGAAUCCCUCCCCACUCCCUAGUCACCUUUCAAUACGAGGAGCUGGGCUUUCCCAGCCCUCUAUCCCCUACUCCUCCCUGCCUCCUCUUGACCUCCUGUGCCUUUUUCAGGGAAAUAAAACACAGAGCCAUGUGGAGAUUGGGGCUGGACUUCUGUGCUCUCCUUUUUCCGUUGGCAACCCCAUCUCCAGGCUGGCAGGAUCAGAGUCGGUGCCUCCCACCUAACACUGACAAUUGGGCAUUGCCAUGGCUGAGGGCACCCUAAGAUAUCAACCCCAUUACACAGAUGGGCAGACUGAAGUCUGAGGCUGUCACAGAGUCAGGACAGAUCAUGUCUUGGAGGUGAUGCAGCCAGGCUUGUGGUCAAUACCCACUCUGCCUGAGUCAGGGUAGCUCCUCUCUCGGCCAGACUGUGAGCUCCCUGAGCUCAGGGACUGGUCCCCAGCUUCCUGAAAGGGGUUUGCUGGGUAGGAUUGAAUGAGGGCUUGCUAUGUACUGACCUGUGCUGGUCCUGGGGUGGGGUUCUGUGUCCCCAUCAGCCUAGCCAGUUUAGCUGCAGGGCCUCCUCACCUCUGGACCCUUCCUUGACCACAGGUCUCCCUAGUUAGUUCCUGGAACCCAGACUUUCGGUGCCUGGGGAGGGAGGGUCUAGGGUGGCAUGGGCAGCUGUGCAUCCAGGCCAGAAUGGGCCACCUGGAGAAGUCCCCAGGGCCUGGUGCAGGAGCCCGCUCCCCCAGCUGGCAGAAGGACAGGUGGAAGCCCACCUGCUGUCCCCCGCUUCUGGGUCACAGUCAGUUGGCUGAGCUAGGCCCAGCUUGGGCAGGUUCUCCCACAUCCAGUGCCCCCUCCCCCUCACCCCACCCUGGCCUGAUCCCUUUUUCAAGUACAGUCUUUGCUCCAGCCAGAUGUCUGAGCACAGUCUUGUUCCCAAGAAACCCAUGCCCUGCCCCACAAUCUCUACUCAUCCUGCCCUCUCUCCCUCCUGUCCCCAUAGGAGCCAUCUCCCCAGGGCCACUGGCUCACCACACUUCCUGCAGAGCUUUGACCCUCUAGGAGAGCAAGCCCCUCCCCAGGCCAGGGAAGGGUCUCAGCAGAGGCAGCAGGGAAGGGGCAAGGAUCCAGCUUCCCCAGUAACCUAGCAUGCCUCUGUCUUCCAGCAAGUCACCAAACCACUCUCCUAUCUGUCCCUAUUGUCAGCCUAUCCCAUCCCUCAAGGCAGCAAGUUCUUAGGUUGGCUUCCCACUGUGUGGGCAAACACGCGGCCUCACUCUUACUGGAAGCCAAGACUUGCUCCAACUGGGCUCGGCAGGAGAGAGUUCUCAAGAAGCCCAACCCUCAAAUACAUACUCUGUAACCUAGAUGGAGGCUCUCACAGAACCUGCCAGAGGCAAUCACUAACCCUGCUUUACACACCUAAAGGUAGCUUUUUAAACUUUAAAAAAUUUGUGAUAAAAUACGCAGAACAUUUACCAUUUUAACCACAUUUAAGUGUACAUUUCAGUGGCAUUAAAUACAUUCACAUUACAUACGUUCACAUUACAUAUGUUCACAUUGUUGUGCAACCAUCAACACCAUCCAUCUCCAGAAUUCUUUUCAUUUUACAAAACAGAAACUCUGCUCAUUGAACACUAACUCCCCAUCUCUCCAGCCCCUGGCAACCACCAUUCUACUUUCUGUCUCUAUGAAUCUAACUACCUUAGUUACCUCAUUAAAGUGGAAUUAUACAAUAUUUGUCCUUUUGUGAUUUGCUGAUUUCACUUAGCACAAUGUCCUUAAAGUUCAUCCCUGUUACAGCAUGUGUCACAAUUUUCUUCCUUUUUAAGGCUUAAUAAUAUUCCAUUGUAUGUAUGUACCACAUUUUCUUUCUCCAUUUGGGUAGCUUUUUUUAUUUAUUAACUACUUUUUUUUUUUUUUUUUUGAGACGGAGUCUCGCUCUGUCACCCGGGCUGGAGCACAGUGGCUUGAUCCCGGCUUACUGCAACCUCCGCUACCCAGGUUCAAGCGAUUCUCCUGCCUCAGUCUCCAGAGUUAACUACUUUUUAAAAAAACCAAAGUAAUAUAUUCUCGUGGCAAAAAGUCUGAACAGUUCAGAAACACAUAAAGUGAAAAGUGGACUUUUCCAUCCCUUCUCACUCUGGUCAUGGAAAGCCCUUUCUGGUGACUCUGAAAUUUUAGAGGCAGAAGGGCUAACUGGUUUUUAUCCAUUUUUUACACAUAUAGUGACAUACUCCUCAUCAGUACUUCUCAAACACGAGUAUGCAUCAGAAUCAUACAGAGAACAUGUUAAAACCACAGACUGCUGGGCUCCAGCCCUAGUGUUUCUGAUCCCGUAGUUCUACGGUGGCCCAAGAUUCCAGGUUUCUUUUUUGUUUGUUUUUUCAGACAGGGUCUCUCUCUGUCACCUGGGCUGGAGUGCAGUGGCACCAUCUUGGCUCCCUGAAACCUCCACCUCUCAGGCUCAAGCGAUCCUCCUGCCUCAGCAUCCCUAGUAGCUGGGACUACAGGCUAAUUUUUUGUAGAGAGGUUUUGCCAUGCUGCCCAGGCUGGUCUUGAACUCCUGGGCUCAAGCAAUCCUUCUGCCUUGGCCUCCCAAAGUGCUGGGAUUACAGGCAUGAGCCACUGCAACUGGCUGAAGAUUCUGGAUUUCUAAUAGGCUCCAUGCCCAUGCUGGCAGAGGGCACACCCUUCAUGGAGUAGCACCACCCAAGGAAUGUCUUGCCACUUGCUUUUCUACUUAGUGAAUAUCAACACACAACCUCAACCUCACUCUUUUCAACCACUGCAUACUAUUGGUGUUUGGAGGCAUCAUAACAUAUCCAAUCCGUGCCCUAUUAAUGGACUUAAUGUUGCUUCCAGUUUUUCAGGUUUGGAAGCAAAACUGCAAUGAACACACUUGUAUGUAUACUUUGAACACUUGUGACAUUUAUAACAGUGCAUCUGAUAAAUUCCUAGAUAUGGAACCCUCGAGUCCAUGGUUUGUGAAUUAAUUCUUCUCAUGUAUACUGCCAAUCCCCUUCACAGGUGCAACUGUCCUCCCCCCCAGCUCUGAGGAUGUCUGUGUCCACACAGUGAGGGGUUGCCCAUUUUAGUUGUUGUCAAUCAAAUUGGCGAAAAGAGAAUCUUCUCAUGUCUUCAUUUUGAUUUCUUCUAUUUUGACUGAGGGUGAGCAUUUUCACCUGCUUGUUAACCAUUAGUAUCCCCUUACCGGUUUAUGUGCUUUGCCCAUUUUUCUAUUCGUUUUUAUUUUCCUUAUUGACUUGUAAAAACUCAUCGGUCAUCUAUGUUAAAAAUAUUUUUUCCAGACGGUUGUCUUUAGAAUUCAGGAUAUUACAUUAAAAACACAUUUUUUUUUCAGAGAUGGAGUCUCACUGUGGUGCCCAGGCUGGCCUCAAAUUCCUGGGCUCAAGUUAUCCUCCCACCUCAGCCUCCCAAGGAGCUGGGACUACAGGCAUGUAACACAACACCCUACGUCAUAUUUUAAUACAGCCAAUUUUAAAAAAUUCUUUCCCUUUGUGACUCCUAGGUUUUGUGUCAAACUUUCCCCAAUCCAAGAACAUACACUUUUAGACUUUCAGAUGUUUUCUUCUAGUAAUUUUAUGGUUUCCUUUUUACAUUUAAAUCUUCACUCCAUCGGGAUUUAUUUCAGAAUAAGAGAUGAAGUGGGGAGCUGGAUUUCUUUUUUUUCCCCCUUAACAGCUAACCAGUUGUCCAAUUUGAUUGAAUAAUUCAUCUUUUCUCCUCUGAUCUAAAAUGUCAUUUUAUCAUAUAUUUAAUUUCCAUUUGUUCACGGGUGUGUGUCUGGCCUCUACUCUGCUCCUUUGAUCUGCCUGUCUGUUCUUGUGCCAGUACCCAACUAUUUUAUUAUUGGAGCUUUCUACAACAUUUUAGUAGCACUAGUCGUCCCUUAUAAUACUUCUUUUUCAGGAUUUUCCAAGCUCUUUUUGCAUGUUUAUUUCUCCAGAUGAACUUUAAUAUAAUUUGUCAAGUUCAAAAGAUCUCGUUGUUUUUCACAUCUUCCAACAGAUGUGAUUUUCGGACAUCUCAGCCCACAGCCAAACAGAAACAAGUUGAGAAUAGGGUGGGUUUGGUGGUCUGCCCUGGAGGCAGGCAAAGUGAUGGUAACAGAAGUGAUAGUUUAUACGGAGAGAGUUGAUGAAGUGAUAAAGUACUAUAAAAGUAGACACAAGAACUACGAAAAUGUAGCCUUCAUGGAAUGAGCCGUUGGUGUGGGGCCAAAAAAGGCCUUGGAUUUUCACUGUAUUACAACCAGGAUACUGAUGGACCCUUGUAACCACAACCCUGAGUCAUGAAGACUCACAUGUUCUGUAACCUCUGAUUAAAAGCCCGGAAAGCGUGUAAUAUCCACUAGUGAUUCCUAUCCAAAAUAUCUCUUUUUAAGGUUUCAGAUAUUAAUGUCUGGAAAACUAGUAUGAAAUGGUUCAUUCUUGGAUGGUGACAUAAACAUGACAUGUUACUGGCCUCUUUACAGUUUUCUCAAAGCCCACCUUCAAAUUCCAAGGAGCUGCCAGCUCCGGGAUUUGAAUUCACUCUAUCCAUGGAAACAAAGCUGAGGGAAAUGUCCCCAGACUUUCAGCCAGUUCAAACACAAUAAUAAAAAAAGGUUUACCUCAUACAUGCCUCCAACAUAUGAGGCAUGUUAUAGGCAGAUUAUAUUUUAAUCCUCAACAGCCCCGCUGGGUGAAUGCUGUACUCCCAUUACACAGAAAACUGAGGCUCAGAGGGGUCAAACAACUGGGGCCAGUUUAAGUUAGUACGUGACAAAGAGCUCUCAGCUACCUCCACCUGCACAUUCCACAGACCAGUCCCCUUCAGUUCACUCCCACAGGGAGGUUCAAAACACCACCGACCCUAUUCAGACAUCCCUUUGCAAGGCCCUGUCACCUGUCUUGCCCAAUGCCCACCUAGCCAGGAGAGCCAGGAUGCACAGUGAGGAAGGUGGAAUGAGGUGCCAACGUAGCCCAUCCAGGGAAGGAAGACAGCCCCCCCCCCCCGGCCACCCACUUGCCAGUGGCCCAGGUGGCAGGCCAGCCACUUGCCAAUCCCCUUCCUGAUCAGGGAUUCAGGAAGUGAAGAGAGUGCCCCUGGAAGUCAGGAGACACCUCCAAGAUGAAGGCCCUGCCUGCCAUAGCCUGACACAGCCUCCCUGUACUCCCUGGGUUGUCCCAGGACGCAGACUCUGUGCUUACCAUACCACACCUUUGUCAGUGGUGUGGGCAGGGCCCAGCAGAGUCCUGGACACCCCAGGGAGUAGGAGCUGUGCAGGUAACAUAGGAGGGGGUGAAAGGGAAAUGAACUCCCUUGGGAGUUCCCCAUCCCAGAGGAAAUAAAAGUCAAAGCACUCCUUUGUUUUUUCUUCCCAAGCCCUUAUAAGGGGCUUUAUGGGGCUUGCCUAGGUUUGAGGUGCAGCAGAGGCAGGCGGGUGAGGGCCUCCAGGCUGAGAGAUCCUGGGGCAAAAGUGAAACUAUAUGGUCAUGAACACGGGCAUGUUCUGAACUCUGUGAAACCCUAGCCCAGGACCUGGCUGACUGUACAAUCCGUCACCCGGCACACCGUAACAGAAGACCCUACUACGCGCAGAGGACAGUACUAUUGGGGUGGCAACUGAAAAGGGUCCUGGCUGGAGGCGGGGUUUGCUGGAGGGGUAACAGAGCGUGCGCGGAGUGGAGAGGGUACGGAGGCUCACCGCCCAGCAUCCCCAACCCCGGCGCUCAGAAGAGCAGCGCGCUCCGGAGCUCGGCGCGCGCGAUCAAAGCCGGCGCCGCACGCGCACGCGCGCCCGCAGCCGCUCCCCCGCCCGCGCCGCUCCGGCUCCCGCGCGCGCGCACUUGAGGCCUCCCUUGUGCGUCUCCUCCAUUCGCUACGUGCAGAAUGGUCCGUCGGCAGCAGCUGCAGCGCUGGGUGGGAGGGGGAGGAGGAGGGGAGGGGGAGGCGGCGCCCAGGUCUCGGGGAGGGGCCGCGGCGGCCCUGGAGAUAGAGGGGUGGGGGCGAAGGGGUGGGCCCCCGCAGCGGGGAGGACAGAGGGAGAGUCCGGGUGGGCUCGAUGCUCAGCCUUCCCCCUCCCCCGCUCCCGCUUCUUUCUGCGAGGCCAUUACGGCCAUCUCCCGGCCUGAGCCUCCUGGAACCAAGCCGACCAAGAGGGGUUUCCUCCGUGUUGUCUCGUCCCCAAAACCCAGAAUCCAGACCCAAGAAAGAACCACUCCUGCUGACCCCUCCUCCCGCUACCCGUCCCAACCGCAUUCCCAAGCUUUCGUGGAGGUGACCCAACAGCAAGCACUUCCCCACUCCGCCUUUCAUGGGGUGGGGUCCCUAAGAGGUACUGCAGACUAACUCCUCUUUUCAUCUCUUACCCCACCUGGAGGAAGAGGCAUGGCCAGGAUGGACACCAGAGCACAUUUCCCAGCAUUUCCAAGGGGAAAGGGCAGCAUCUCAGCAUGCAGACUCCAACAUGGCCACAGAAAGGUCGAGUGGCGCAGAGGAGCAGGCUGCUGCCCAGGCCCCUAGGGCCACUUCCAAAGGAGUGUGACCACGACUAGGUUGCUGUGGACUCACUCGCAUUACAGGGCUGCGCCCUAUACACCUGUUUGUAAAGGGUCCUCCUAGAAUGUAAUGGUGAGGGACCACCAAGCGGUGGACCAAGAAUUCCAAACAGACCAGCUCCCUGCCUUGCCAGGAAACCAGAUGUGGCCCAGAUGUCCAUAGCAGUUCCUCCCACAGGGUGGGACACCAGCUAUUCUGUGCAACCCCUCCCAACCCUUCUUCCAGGGUCAGGGAGGAAAGCUGGCAACCUCCGUUGUCCCUUCCCAUUUGGGUUGCUAGAAGGGAGCAACUCACUCAUCCUCCUCUUCCUGCCAAGAGCCACCUGGGCUUACCUCUCCAGCAGCCACCUAGGUUCAACCUGUGGUCUAACCUCAAGCCCUCUGCUGACAGGUUAAGUCAAGAUCGCCGGGAAGGAAGGCGUCCAGUUUCAUUACACACACAGACGUACACACACACCCGACACCGACCCACGCGCCUGGGCUCUGCACAGUGGCUAGACCCCAAAAAGCCGAUUCUCCUGUUCCCUCCGUGGUGGCCUCAGUCUUUUGGCGGCGCCCUCUGCUGGCCACUAGGAAGUGCAGGAAAAAACAGUCUGCCCAUAGACGCUUGGUGGAUCUGGGAAAGGGGACAAGAGGCAGAGAAACAAGUGAAAAGUGGGAGCUGAGAGCAGCGCUGGGCUGGCCACAAACAAGCGAGGCAUGGUGACGCCUUCCUGGAGAGGAUGGCCCAAGCCCAGGUCCCUGGCAUGGUGGGGCAGGGGCCUGAGUCACAGCCUGGCGUGACCCUGCCCAGUCCCCAGGAAUGGCCAGCUCGUCCAGAGGUGAGACCCAGGUCAACAAUCCAUCAGUCUGCCUCCUGCCACCAGGUAUCCUCCCCAUCACGUCCUACACGUGGGGUGGGCCAGGACAGUGCUGGGCAGAGCUAGUGUUGGGCCUGUGCCUGGGGGCCACCAAGGGGGCCCGGAGAAAAGAAUGGAGGGGUUUUCACUUCCUGAGCAGCAGGAGGAGCCAGCUGGGGUUAAAGACAGGAGGGACUGGUUGGGCCUACAGGCAUUUGGAGUCUCUCCCUGCCUGCUGGGUGAGGGAGGCAGCAGGUGCCAAGAACUGCUAGCUUCUAGGACCUGACCCUCAAGUUGCUUCUCCUGCUGAGGGGCUUCUAGGGUCACCCUCAGGGCCUUGACAUCUGCACACAUCUGCACAGGCCCUUCACCAGGGACUUAACCUCCAAAGGCAGCUCCUGCUCCCAGCCUUCACAGGCCCCCCUAGGGCCCAAGUCCCCAGACCCAACCUCAGUCUGCAAGCUGGCCAAGUCAGAGGUCCUGGCUGCCUGGACCACUCCCAAGCAGUAAAUGGCACUGUGGGCUUCCUCCAUCCUGUCUUCCCCGCCCCACUUCAUUGAUUCACUGACUUCCAACUUACUGGUCAGGCCCCCUUCCAGACCCUGCCUGGAUGAAGAGGACUCCCAGAAGCAGUGAUUGAAGGCCUAGGAGGAUACAGAGAGCCAGGUGCUUUAAUUGGAGGGGAGGAAAUAUUCCAAGAGAUGAAAACUAGCCAAGACCACGCAGCACCAGAACCACUCCCAGAAGCCCCGGCUUCCCCAGAGACUGCUUCAGUGAGCCGGCAAAAACUGAAGCCUGCAGCCUCAGGAGUUCCCACACACACCUAGGCCAGAAUCCCUCUGCCCCGCAGCAGGACACCCCUCCCUCUUGCCCUCCAGGGUCAUGGGCUAGACAUGGCAAGGUAAGCAGAAGGCAGAUGCAUACUAGUCCACACAAGCUUGUGACGGCUGGGACUAGGGGCCAACCUAGUGGCUCCCACGUUGAGAAUCAACGCCAAUUCCAGGAAGCCUUCCCGGCUAACCCCCAAAAAGCUGGCAAUACUUCCCUCCCACAACACAGCCUUGGCUCUCGAAGGCUGUCCUCUCCCCCAGCCUCACUCUGACUCAUCAUGUAGGUCCCGCAUGGGCCUCAGUUCUCCUGGCCAUGGGCUCUCCCCAUACCUUAACCUGGGAACCGUUGUGGGCAGGACCAUGUGGGACAAAAAGGUCCUGUGCCCAACCCAGCACCAAUCACAGGGAGGCCUGGGGAUAAGCAGGGGCUCUUGGAAAGGGGGCAGAACUCAGCUCAAGUCACAGAACCUGGGAAGGACCUUCAGUGGAAAGCCGCUUCAAAUGUCAUCUGGGAUGAGCAUGGUGGCUCACACCUGUCGUCUCAACACUUUGGUGAAACUGAGGCUGGAGGAUUGCUCAAGGCCAGGAGUCGAAGACCAGCCUGGGCAACAUAGCAAAACCUUGUCUCUCUGUGUAUUUUUUUAAUAUUAAAAAAAAAAAAUUUAAGGUCAUCUGGUCCAGUCCCUCGUGCCUCCCAGUUGGGAGGCACUGAACUUCUCAACACUGCAGAAACAGGCAUCUCUUCAUAUAUUUAGUCAUUCAGUCAUCCAUCCAAUGAACCUUGCCCAACUAUCUUCUACAUCUCCGCAGCCCAGGCAACCCAAUCCAUUCUCAAGGCACAGACUAAAUCCUUACCAAAUAGAGUCAAGGGUCCAUCCAUUUCCUCUCCUGGGCCUAACAUGGUGCUAAGUGGAAGUAAAAGGUGCUGAUCAGCAACGGCCACCCACUUUUAUGUUGCACGGUGGCAUUCUCACCUGGCUUGCACAUCACCAGGUGAUGUUCAUUUCAGACUCAGCCACCAUUCCAGACAGGUUGUCCCUCACUGGCAGAUGGGAAGCUGAGGCUGAGCAGGUGAAAUGGUCUUGCAGCUGGAAGAAAGGUAGGGCCAGGACUUGGCCCAGGCAGCUAAGCUCCCAGCCCCAGAUUCAUUUUACACACCCACUCCCAGCCCUCCACCAGCUUGGGUUUCAUGUGGAAACAGGAUUUCCCCCGGGGGAAUGAAAAUUUGAUUUUGGCCCCUAAUUAUAAAAAUAAUAACAGUGAAGAUGGAUCAGAGGCCUGCUGGUCUCAGUGCUGUGCUGAUUUUGCUAAAUGCACAGGUGUCAAGUGUUGCCCACAGAACCCCCCACCCCUCCUCGGGGCCAGGCUCACAAUGCCCUUGGCUGGCACAGCUGCACAUGCAGACACACACGCACGCACACACAUGCAUGCAUGAGUCCCUGCACGUCCCAGGAGAUGUGUCCCACCCCCUUCAUUCCCCUCUGAUAACCCAGCAGCUUCCAGCAGGACAGACACGUACCCUUCAGGCUGGCCAUGUCAGGCACGUGCCAGACCAGCUGCCAGGGCCCAGAACCUCAGGCCUGCUGGGCUCUAGAAGGUGACUUUCUCCAUAGCUGACCCUGUUCAACCUCAGGAAGGAUGAUAACUCUCCGGGAUGUGAGGGAUGUGAGACCCCACCCAAACCCUCUGCGGAGUCAGUGUCCAUGCAAGGCUUUGACUAAGACCUUGCUGAGGCCUGGAGAACUCGCGUGCUUCCUCUAAAGCCCAGACCGAAGACACCUCCUCUGGAAAGCCUACGCUGACCGGUGAUGGCUGUCCUGCCAGAUGGCCAAGCUGCAUUCUGCCAGGACAGGCUCAUACCCUUCGGGCUGGCCAUGUCGGGACGUGCCAGACCAGCUGCCAGGGCCUGGGGCCUCUUUUGAGGCUUUGACUUGGCCCCCACCCUGGUUCGUGGACCUGUUAUUUCCCCAUGCUGAGCUUCAAGGUUCUGAGGCCAGAGACAGGGUCCUAGUCAAGUUUGAGGCCUCAGAUCCAACACCAUGACCCAGCCCAGUGCUUUUGUGCGUGGAAUGAAGGAAUCCUGACCAUGCUGGGCUGAGACCUGCCAGGGCAAGGGCCCCAGGAGUAGGCACAGGGCCCUGGGGCAUAGCCAUCCUGCCCUGGCCUAUCCCUGCCCCAUGCCUGAGCCCUAUGCUAAGAGCAAGUUCCUGUUGCAAGCUGUACCCUGUCCCAGACACGUGGCAUUUACCAAAAGGGCAGAGACAGUGAGAAGGGCCUCCCCUGUGCCAUCCACUCACAAAGGGGCUGGAAAGGCCAGCAAGAAGGAGAGGAGUCAUAUUUCAAAGGGCUCUGAAGAUGUCACAAUGACGGCAAUGCUCACCACCUCAAACCGCCCAAGGAGCCAUAUCCAGACUAGACAAUAUAAGAAACAGCUGCAGAGCAGCCAGAGGACAGCAACCCUACCCCAGAAAUGGACAUGAGAGAUAAACAGACAAUUAAACAAUUGAGGCCAGGAGUUCGAGACCAGACUGGGCAACAUAGUGAGAAUCUGCCUCUUUAAAAAAAUGUUAAAAUUAGCUGGGCAAGGUAGGGUAGUGUGUGCCUAUAGUCCUAACUACUGAGGAGACUGAGGUGGGAGGAUCACUUGAGCAGAAGUUGAAGGCUACAGUGAGCUAUGAUCACACCAUAGCACUCCAGCCUGGGUGACAGAGUGAGAUCCUGUCUCAAAAAAAAAAAAAAAAAAAAGAAAAGAAAAGAUGCUGAAAAUCAUUAUACAUCACUCUACCUCUAGUAGAUGGGAAAAAUUCGAAAGCUGGAUAAAGCCCAGCAUUGGUGGGGAUGUGAGUGACAGCCCCAUCCCCACAGGGCAUGUACUAGGGGAAUUUGGCAGCUCAUUCAUAGAGUGGGUGGACAGGAAAAUGUGUGGCUGCACAUCAUAGGGUUCCAUGUAGCAGUUGGAAGCAACAAGGCUAGAUUUUAUUUUGAUUGAUUGAUUGACUGCACUCCGUCACCCAGGCUGGAGUGCAGUAGCAUAAUCAUAGCUCACUGCAGCCUCCAACUCCUGGGCUUAAGUGAUCCUCCCGCCUCAGCCUCUCAAGUAGCUGGGACUACAGUUGUACAUCACCAUGCCCAGCUCAAGGCUAGAUUUUAUACAGUGUUGACUCAAUGAGAUCUAUAACACAAUGACAUUUAUCAAAGUAAAAAGAAAAAUACGUGCUUACAAAAGAGUAAUGCCCACCUGCAGGAACCAUACAAACAAAGGCAUCAAAGACAGUAAAAUGGGGAAACAAAAGAAGGGUGUGAGGAAGGGAGGAAAGGAAUAAACACCAAACGAGAAAGGUCAGUGAUGCCAGUGAGCCUGCCAUGGCCUGAGUAACACUAGCCACACCCCCGGUCCACAAUGAGGACCACAUCUGAGGUCCACAGGGAGGAACAGUCCCCAAGGUCCUCAGCGCAGGCUCAGGUGGAGCCAGGAGCCGCUUCCAUGAGGGUCAGAUCUGGGCCUAACCUCAGAGCUUGCCCCUCCCCGCACCCUCCACAGCAGAGGAGGCUCUUGGCCAAAGUCAAGCUGCUGUACACGCAGGGUCGCACCCACCUUGGGCCCCUUUUAUGCCCUGGAAGUGGAAGAGGACAGACCUCAAACUAGAGCAGUGAUUCUGCCCUGAGCUGGGUGCCAGGAGAAAAUGGGAAGCAAGUCCUCACUCUUACAAAAGUUCCUGGGAGGUCAGGCGCAGUGGCUCAUGCCUGUAAUCCCAGCACUUUUGGGGGCAAAGGCAAGAGGAUUGCUUGAGGCCAGGAGCUCAAGACCAGCCUGGCCAGCAUAUUGAGACCCCCAUCUCUAAAAACAUUUUUUUUUUAAUUAGCUGGAUAUGGUGGCUUGCGUCUGUAGUCUCAGUUACUCAGGAGGCUGAGGCAGGAGGUUGAUUUGAGCCCAGGAGGUCCAGGCUGCAGUGAGCUAUGAUCACACCACUGCACUCCAGCCUGUGUGACAGAGUAAGACCCUGUCUCAACUUUUUAAAAAAAAAUUCCUGGAAUUCAGGUAAUUUUUUUUUUCUUUAAGGAGAGUCUUUAUCUUUAGACACACAUUUAGAAAAAUCUGUGAAAUGAUAUAAUGUUAUAAAUGUGCUUCAAAAUCUAGGUGUGGUGGCAGGGGAGAGGGGGCAAGUAGGUGGAUGAAACCAGCUUGGUGAUAAAUUGAUAGCUGCUGAGUCUGGGAAUGAGUGCGUGGGGUUCAUUAUACCUUAUUCUCUAUUUGUGCACGUGUUUCAGAGUUUCCAUAAUAAAAACUUCAAAAAGAAAAACUUCCCAGUAAGAAACUCUCCCAUGUGAGGGGACUAGCCCCUGACCUCAGGGAACCCCACCCAGUCUGCCAGGGGACACACAACCCCUGCCCUGCAUCUUCUUAGCCUGCCUCGGCUGGCCAGGGGCCGCAUUGUAGGACACAGCCAUGGGGGUCCUGACAAAUGCUCAGCCUCGGACCUGGCCUUAUCACUGAAGCCAAGGGUCAGGCACUGGAGCCACAUCUGAGCAGACCUGGUUCUGGUUCCAGCUCCACCUUGCACGUAGCCUGAGGCACCUCACCUGAACCACACCUGCCUGGAUCCAAGUCCUGGGUCAUUAUCAGUGAGAAAGUCCUCCUGCUCUUACUGUGGCUGCUCCUCUCACUGCCUCUGCCUCCACGUCUGUAUGAUGAGGACUGGAAUCACCAGGCAAGUUUGCAAAUUAAAUGAGGCAAUGCUCAGUGUGCACUCAGACAGAGCUGCCAGGACCAGGGGAGGGAGCUGGCCAGGGUCAUACAGCCAGCUAGUGGCAAAACUGGGUUCUUCACGGGAGCAGGGCACCGUGCCAGCUGCCACUCCCAUCCCCCACCAUGAGGCCUUCAGGCCAGUGGACAGCAUGUCUUCUUUCAGAGUCUGAGGCCGUGUCCCUGAGACCCUGCCCUCCAGCCCCAACUCCCAUUCCAGGAGCCUCUGACUCAGGAGAGCACCAGGAAGCCUGCGUGGGCCAGAUGCAAGCCAGGAAGGACAGGGCUGGGGAAGAAGGAGGCAGAAGCCUCUAUCCUGCCCUCCCGGAACACAGAGGUAUCCAGGUACAUCAGUCUGGGAGGGUGCACCCAGACUCAGGGACUCUACCAGGAGACUGCUGGGUGACUCCUAAGUCAGGAGUCUUAGCCUUGCCUGGCCUUUCCUUUAAUUAACAAUAAUAAUAGUCAACAUUUGUAUACCUCCUACUGUGUACAAGGCAGUGUUCUGCUUUAGGUGUAUUAUCUCAUUUAAUUCUCACAACAACCCUAAGAGGCCAAUGCUAUUAUUGUCUUCAUUUUACAGAUGGGGAAACCUAGGCAAAGAGAGGGUAAGUAACUUUCCCAAAGUCACUCAGCUUGCACACAGCAGAGCUAGGAUUUGGCCCCAGCCAGCCUGCCUUGAGUUUGUGCUCUUACCCACCCCAGCGCACUCUCAGACAGCAUGGCCUGGCUUUUCCUGAGCCAGCGCUUCUGAUUCCCCCUGGGGUAUAACAGCUGAUACCCUGUUUAUACCACAACACCUGGGAUGGGAGCUUCACCCAGGGGUGGCAGUGCUAGUACCCGGGCAGCACUCCCACCUUGUCUCUUACUCGGGAAAGCAGAGCAGAAGGUAAGCGGGAAUAACGCUAUCAGAGGGAUGGGUUUUUAACUCAUUAUUUUCUCUUCUUCUUUUUUGUUGUUGUUGUUGAGAUAGGGUGUCACUCCCAUCACCCAGGCUGGAGUGCAAUGCCACAAUCUUGGCUUACUGCAACCUCCGACUCCUGGGAUCAAGUGGUUCUCCUGCCUCAGCCUUCUGAGUAGCUGGGACUACAGGUGCAUGCCACUGCACCUGGCUAAUUUUUGUAUUUUUUGUAGAGAUGGGGUUUCUCCAUGUUGCUCAGGCUGGUCUCAAACUCCUGGCCUCAAGCAAUCCGCCUGCCUCUGCCUCCCAAAGUGCUGGGAUUACAGGCAUGAGCCACCGUGCCCAGCCUCCUUCUUCAUUUAAAUCACUCAUAAAAAGUUAACCAAGAUCUGGGCCAAGUGCAGUGGCUCAAAAAUAUAUAUACAAAAAAAAUUAGCAGGGCAUCGUGGCACACUUGUGGUCCCAGCUACUCAGGAGGCUGAGGUGGGAGGAUUGCUUGAGCCAGGGAGGCAGAGGUUGCAGUGAGCCGAGAUUGUGCCACUGUACUCCAGCCACUCCAGCCUAGGCAACAGAGUGAGACCCUGUCUCAAAAAAACAAAAGAAAGUUAUCCAAGAUCGGCAACAAAGUAGUCAUGAAACACCCUUACAACCAGUCACAGCAAGGCCCUGGAGAAUCUCUUUGGUCUACUGAAUGCAAGCAGCUGGGGCAUCCGCUCCCAGCUGAAACAUGCUGAAAGAGGAGUGGAUAAGAGCACAGGUCUCAGGGUGGGUGCUGCCACUUCCAAGCUGUAAAACCCUGGACCACAGAUUAGUUCACCUCUCUGGGCCUCAGUUUUCCCAUCCGUAAAGUGGGGUGAUAAUAGCAUCUCCUUGCAAAGUUGUUAGAAGUUUGUUUUUUGUUUUUUGUUUUGCUUUUUUUUUUGUUUUCCUGCCUCAGGUUUAUUUGUACAAAUGGCAGAGGAGGACACCAGCCCCAUGCAGAUGGCAGCCCAGGGGGGUCAUACUAGUCCUUCUGUCCUUAUGUUGGCGGACAGAGAUCUCUACUCUGAAACCUUUGUAGGGGCCUGGACAGCUUUGGGAGCCUGAG
RNAcentral lists this long non-coding RNA (23773 nucleotides) under Homo sapiens (human). Its description in RNAcentral is "HSALNT0334388". The record is from RNAcentral. Lineage: Eukaryota; Metazoa; Chordata; Mammalia; Primates; Hominidae.